CCUGGUGUCUCAGAUGGUAAAGAAUUUGUCUGCAAUGCAGGAGACCCAGGUUCAAUCCCUGGGUCAGGA
This 69-nucleotide transfer RNA is filed under the name Capra hircus (goat). It matches the Rfam family "tRNA". From Rfam's summary of the family: Transfer RNA (tRNA) molecules are approximately 80 nucleotides in length. RNAcentral also lists the same sequence under 1 other name. The record is from Rfam by way of RNAcentral. Lineage: Eukaryota; Metazoa; Chordata; Mammalia; Artiodactyla; Bovidae.